GUUAGCCUACGGGGGGCAGCAGUGGGGAAUAUUGCACAAUGGGGGAAACCCUGAUGCAGCGACGCCGCGUGAGUGAAGAAGUAUUUCGGUAUGUAAACUUCUUUUAUCAGGGACGAAGGAUGUGACGGUACCUGAUGAAUAAGCUCCGGCUAACUACGUGCCAGCAGCCGCGGUAAUACGUAGGGAGCAAGCGUUAUCCGGAUUUACUGGGUGUAAAGGGCGCGUAGGCGGGAUGGCAAGUCAGAUGUGAAAUCCGGGGGCUCAACCCCUGAACUGCAUUUGAAACUGUCGUUCUUGAGUACUGG
RNAcentral lists this ribosomal RNA (305 nucleotides) under uncultured bacterium. RNAcentral describes it as "bacterial SSU rRNA". It matches the Rfam family "Bacterial small subunit ribosomal RNA", at positions 333 to 652 of the family's 1533-position model. The record is from RNAcentral.